Molecule: ribosomal RNA, 429 nt
Filed under: Pseudomonadota bacterium
Lineage: Bacteria; Pseudomonadati; Pseudomonadota
Description: Proteobacteria bacterium partial 16S ribosomal RNA
Rfam family: Bacterial small subunit ribosomal RNA
Source: RNAcentral
UGGGGAAUAUUAGACAAUGGGCGAAAGCCUGAUCCAGCCAUGCCGCGUGUGUGAAGAAGGUCUUCGGAUUGUAAAGCACUUUAAGUUGGGAGGAAGGGCAGUAAGCGAAUACCUUGCUGUUUUGACGUUACCGACAGAAUAAGCACCGGCUAACUCUGUGCCAGCAGCCGCGGUAAUACAGAGGGUGCAAGCGUUAAUCGGAAUUACUGGGCGUAAAGCGCGCGUAGGUGGUUCGUUAAGUUGAAUGUGAAAGCCCCGGGCUCAACCUGGGAACUGCAUCCAAAACUGGCGAGCUAGAGUAGGGCAGAGGGUGGUGGAAUUUCCUGUGUAGCGGUGAAAUGCGUAGGUAUAGGAAGGAAAACCAGUGGCGAAGGCGACCACCUGGGCUCAUACUGACACUGAGGUGCGAAAGCGUGGGGAGCAAACAGG